Molecule: ribosomal RNA, 425 nt
Filed under: uncultured bacterium
Lineage: Bacteria
Description: partial 16S ribosomal RNA
Rfam family: Bacterial small subunit ribosomal RNA
Source: RNAcentral
GUGGGGAAUAUUGGACAAUGGGCGCAAGCCUGAUCCAGCCAUGCCGCGUGAGUGAUGAAGGCCUUAGGGUUGUAAAGCACUUUCACCGGUGAAGAUAAUGACGGUAACCGGAGAAGAAGCCCCGGCUAACUUCGUGCCAGCAGCCGCGGUAAUACGAAGGGGGCUAGCGUUGUUCGGAAUUACUGGGCGUAAAGCGCACGUAGGCGGACGCUUAAGUCAGGGGUGAAAUCCCGGGGCUCAACCCCGGAACUGCCUUUGAAACUCCCAGUCUUGAGUUCGAGAGAGGUGAGUGGAAUUCCGAGUGUAGAGGUGAAAUUCGUAGAUAUUCGGAGGAACACCAGUGGCGAAGGCGGCUCACUGGCUCGAUACUGACGCUGAGGUGCGAAAGCGUGGGGAGCAAACAGGAUUAGAUACCCUAGUAGUCC